Molecule: ribosomal RNA, 253 nt
Filed under: uncultured bacterium
Lineage: Bacteria
Description: partial 16S ribosomal RNA
Rfam family: Bacterial small subunit ribosomal RNA
Source: RNAcentral
UACGUAGGGUGCAAGCGUUAUCCGGAAUUACUGGGCGUAAAGCGUGCGCAGGCGGUUCGUUGUGUCGGCGGUGAAAGCCCCGGGCUCAACCUGGGAAUGGCCGUUGAAACUGGCGAACUGGAGUGUGGCAGAGGGGGGUGGAAUUCCGCGUGUAGCAGUGAAAUGCGUAGAGAUGCGGAGGAACACCGAUGGCGAAGGCAGCCCCCUGGGCUGACACUGACGCUCAGGCACGAAAGCGUGGGGAGCAAACAGG